GUGCUUCCUUCAGUAAUACAUAUAUUAAAAUUGGAAUGAUACAAGGAAGAUUAUCAUGGCUCCUGAACAAGGAUGACAUACAAAUUCAUACAGAGUUCCAUUUUUUU
RNAcentral lists this small nuclear RNA (107 nucleotides) under Salvator merianae (Argentine black and white tegu). The record is from RNAcentral. Lineage: Eukaryota; Metazoa; Chordata; Lepidosauria; Squamata; Teiidae.